AUUGAACGCUGGCGGCGUGCCUAACACAUGCAAGUCGAGCGGUAACAGGUGUAGCAAUACAUGCUGACGAGCGGCGAACGGGUGAGUAAUGCUUCGGAAUCUACCCAAUGGUGGGGAAUAACCAGCCGAAAGGUUGGCUAAUACCGCAUACGUCCUACGGGAGAAAGCAGGGGAUCGUAAGACCUUGCGCCAAUGGAUGAGCCGAAGUCGGAUUAGCUAGUUGGAGGGUAACGGCCUACCAAGGCGACGAUCCGUAGCUGGUCUGAGAGGACGACCAGCCACACUGGGACUGAGACACGGCCCAGACUCCUACGGGAGGCAGCAGUGGGGAAUCUUGUACAAUGCACGAAAGUGUGAUGCAGCAACGCCGCGUGUGGGAAGACGGCCU
Molecule: ribosomal RNA, 388 nt
Filed under: uncultured bacterium
Lineage: Bacteria
Description: bacterial SSU rRNA
Rfam family: Bacterial small subunit ribosomal RNA
Source: RNAcentral